AAAUUGAAGAGUUUGAUCAUGGCUCAGAUUGAACGCUGGCGGCAGGCCUAACACAUGCAAGUCGAACGGUAACAGGAAGCAGCUUGCUGCUUUGCUGACGAGUGGCGGACGGGUGAGUAAUGUCUGGGAAACUGCCUGAUGGAGGGGGAUAACUACUGGAAACGGUGGCUAAUACCGCAUAACGUCGCAAGACCAAAGAGGGGGACCUUMGGGCCUCUUGCCAUCAGAUGUGCCCAGAUGGGAUUAGCUKGUUGGUGRGGUAACGGCYCACCAAGGCGACGAUCCCUAGCUGGUCUGAGAGGAUGACCAGCCACACUGGAACUGAGACACGGUCCAGACUCCUACGGGAGGCAGCAGUGGGGAAUAUUGCACAAUGGGCGCAAGCCUGAUGCAGCCAUGCCGCGUGUAUGAAGAAGGCCUUCGGGUUGUAAAGUACUUUCAGCGGGGAGGAAGGKRKURWGGUUAAUAACCKYAKYMAUUGACGUUACCCGCAGAAGAAGCACCGGCUAACUCCGUGCCAGCAGCCGCGGUAAUACGGAGGGUGCAAGCGUUAAUCGGAAUUACUGGGCGUAAAGCGCACGCAGGCGGUCUGUCAAGUCGGAUGUGAAAUCCCCGGGCUCAACCUGGGAACUGCAUUCGAAACUGGCAGGCUUGAGUCUUGUAGAGGGGGGUAGAAUUCCAGGUGUAGCGGUGAAAUGCGUAGAGAUCUGGAGGAAUAC
RNAcentral lists this ribosomal RNA (719 nucleotides) under Salmonella enterica. RNAcentral's name for it is "bacterial SSU rRNA". The record is from RNAcentral. Lineage: Bacteria; Pseudomonadati; Pseudomonadota; Gammaproteobacteria; Enterobacterales; Enterobacteriaceae.